This 466-nucleotide ribosomal RNA is filed under the name Vreelandella stevensii. RNAcentral describes it as "partial 16S ribosomal RNA". It matches the Rfam family "Bacterial small subunit ribosomal RNA", at positions 338 to 795 of the family's 1533-position model. The record is from RNAcentral. Lineage: Bacteria; Pseudomonadati; Pseudomonadota; Gammaproteobacteria; Oceanospirillales; Halomonadaceae.
CCUACGGGUGGCAGCAGUGGGGAAUAUUGGACAAUGGGGGGAACCCUGAUCCAGCCAUGCCGCGUGUGUGAAGAAGGCCCUCGGGUUGUAAAGCACUUUCAGUGAGGAAGAACGCCUGGUGGUUAAUACCCAUCAGGAAAGACAUCACUCACAGAAGAAGCACCGGCUACACUCCGUGCCAGCAGCCGCGGUAAUACGGAGGGUGCGAGCGUUAAUCGGAAUUACUGGGCGUAAAGCGCGCGUAGGUGGCUUGAUAAGCCGGUUGUGAAAGCCCCGGGCUCAACCUGGGAACGGCAUCCGGAACUGUUAAGCUUGGGGUGAGGAGGGGGAAGUGGAAUUCCCCGUGUUGCGGUGGAAAGCGUAGAGAUUGGGAGGAAAAACAGUGGCGAAGGGGGCCUUUCGGACUGGAACUGGCGCUGAGGUUCGAAAGCGUGGGGAACCAAAAGGAUUAGAUAACCCAGUAGUC